UGGGGAAUAUUGGACAAUGGGCGAAAGCCUGAUCCAGCCAUGCCGCGUGUGUGAAGAAGGUCUUCGGAUUGUAAAGCACUUUAAGUUGGGAGGAAGGUCAGUAAGCGAAUACCUUGCUGUCUUGAUGUUACCGACAGAAUAAGCACCGGCUAACUCUGUGCCAGCAGCCGCGGUAAUACAGAGGGUGCAAGCGUUAAUCGGAAUUACUGGGCGUAAAGCGCGCGUAGGUGGUUCGUUAAGUUGAAUGUGAAAGCCCCGGGCUCAACCUGGGAACUGCAUCCAAAACUGGCGAGCUAGAGUAGGGCAGAGGGUGGUGGAAUUUCCUGUGUAGCGGUGAAAUGCGUAGAUAUAGGAAGGAACACCAGUGGCGAAGGCGACCACCUGGGCUCAUACUGACACUGAGGUGCGAAAGCGUGGGGAGCAAACAGG
RNAcentral lists this ribosomal RNA (429 nucleotides) under Pseudomonadota bacterium. RNAcentral describes it as "Proteobacteria bacterium partial 16S ribosomal RNA". It matches the Rfam family "Bacterial small subunit ribosomal RNA", at positions 355 to 776 of the family's 1533-position model. Lineage: Bacteria; Pseudomonadati; Pseudomonadota. The record is from RNAcentral.